GGGAGAUCAGUGCACCUGCAUAUUUACUCUCCUGUUCCAUCCCUCUCUAUUUCACUCUCUAAUUAUUUCCUGUCAUUUAACUAAUUAGGUAAUUAUGCUAUUCAGUUAACAUUAAGUGGACAGCUAUUCUAUACUAGAAUAACAUUACAGCAAGUUCCUCAGGAGUUCAUGGUUUCUUGGGAAGAAAUAACUGUUGUCAUCUGAUAACAUUUUAGAAAUGAUUUUCUGUGCUCUGUGUAGAGCACUACAGGACCAUUUGCACAUAUAAUGGAUCUUUCUUUUCUGAGAAACAGUAUCAUCCUGAUGUUGCCAGUGCUAAAGUGCAAAAGGCAGAUGACCAGACCCGGGUAGUAAUGACUGUGUGCAUCAGCAAGGAUGUAAAAUCCUCAGCCUCAUGAAAAAUUCCCAGAGUUCAAGCUUGGCAAGAAAAUAGUAGAGAGUCACUUAAGUGUGAGGAUUAUGAUUUAUAUAUGCAACAUAGAAAAACACCAAUAGUGCUCUCUCAUGAGUGUGUGUAUGAGAGAAAUGACAUAAAAACUAUAGAAUGAAGAGCAUACUACCUGCAAGUUUUA
RNAcentral lists this long non-coding RNA (572 nucleotides) under Rhinopithecus bieti (black snub-nosed monkey). RNAcentral's name for it is "lncRNA (ENSRBIG00000046592.1)". The record is from RNAcentral. Lineage: Eukaryota; Metazoa; Chordata; Mammalia; Primates; Cercopithecidae.